Molecule: long non-coding RNA, 343 nt
Organism: Homalodisca vitripennis (glassy-winged sharpshooter)
Lineage: Eukaryota; Metazoa; Arthropoda; Insecta; Hemiptera; Cicadellidae
Exons: 3
Source: RefSeq, a predicted model, not a curated record
CCGACAUCACCGUCGUCAAACUGUUUUGGUCGCUCUGAGAACACUGCGAUAGAGUUCGAUACAGAGCCGAAGACCGAAGCGCGCAUGAGAUGGAUGCCUGACUUUGACUACGCAGGCAAUAUAACAUUCUUGGCCACAAUAGUCCAGUCUGGGGAGAUAUUCUGGCUAAGAGAGAAGGGAGAUUCAAUCUCUGUAUACAACCCGUGGUAGAACUUCACACAUUGAUUUAGUGCAUGUUUUGUAUAUUUUCUUUUCUGUAAGUCAUACUGUGUUAUUGUUUCAAAACCACUAUGAAAAUAAAGCUGAGCGAAUUCUGCCAACACACAUUAACAAGGAAGAAAUC